This is a long non-coding RNA of Myxocyprinus asiaticus (Chinese sucker), 290 nucleotides long. RefSeq lists it as uncharacterized. The transcript is spliced from 3 exons. NCBI's taxonomy places the organism in Eukaryota, Metazoa, Chordata, Actinopteri, Cypriniformes, Catostomidae. The record is from RefSeq and is a predicted model, not a curated record.
GAGAAAGAGAGAAACAGAGAGAUUGCGAGUGGAAUUACUUGUGUAUAAAGUGGCUCUCGUCAGGAAUAACAUUGCUUCAAAUUGCCAAGAUGUGGAGUUGGUGAGUGUAAUUGGCGUUUCCAUGGGAACGCUGAUCACUCCCGGGGAGGUGUUGAUUACGUGGUGUUUGCCCAUCAGAUCACUAUUGCCUGGUGAUCGUGCUCGAGGAGGAUUCCUUGGUUUCUGCCAAGGCAGGGACGGUGUUGUCUGGACCUUCCCAGGGGAACCGGUCGGUAGUGGAUUUCACGAUU